Molecule: long non-coding RNA, 2508 nt
Filed under: Stegodyphus dumicola
Lineage: Eukaryota; Metazoa; Arthropoda; Arachnida; Araneae; Eresidae
Description: uncharacterized LOC118194112
Source: RNAcentral
GCUGUGAACCGCCAUACUUAUACUUUGGAUGCUGAAUUACCAUAUCAUGUAUCUCAUACAUGCCAACCAACUGUUCUUUUGCCACAUCCACCACAUAGCCCCGACGUUGCUCCUUCGGACUUCUGCCUGCAGCUAUAUCUUGCUAUUGCUAUCUUUCGUUCUGCACAGGGUGUUUGAAAUGAGGUUGAUCUGUUUUUGGACUUGCGGCCGCCAAGUUUCUGUAUCAAAGGCUUUGAAAGACUGUUAUAAAAUCAACAAGCAAAGUGAUGGCUAAUUGAAUUUUUGGACUUUAUUAACAAAAAAGGCUUAUGAAUCAUAAAGCCAGUAUAUAUUCUGGUGAGAGAAAUGAGGUCUGUGAAAAAUUCCCUGUCUGUAGAUAUCCUGGCUCUCUUAAGGCAGGUCAACAUGAUUAACGUAGAACAGAAAAGUGGGCUUCUCUUGAAAAAAGACUACAUACCAAGCUUCGAUUUUGUUGAUCAAAAAGUGGAAUCGUCCACCAUGCAACAAAUGAGAAAUUUAAUGUCUCAGUGAAAUUAUAUAUCAGAGAUGAAAGAAUAUGCUAAAUCUGGUUAUUGCAAGAGGUCACAGUCUCGACGAAGGUCAAGAUUCCCAGUUUACUAUUAUUCCAGAAAUUACAGUCGAUAUGAACAGUGGAAUUAUAGUGGAAGUGGAUGAAAACAGUCUCUUCAUUUCCUGUUGAAUUUAGAUCUGAUAAAAUGAAGGAUGAGAAAGAAGCUUGUUAUUACUGUUUGUAUGUAGACAUAAAGAAGGAAAUUCUUAGCAUCAGUUUUAAAAAUUUGACUGCAUUUCAUUACAUCACUUGCAUAGCUGUAGCUUUCUCCAUUUGCAAGAAUUUUUAGGUCAAAGGGACUGUCCUAUACACCCUGUAUAUAUAUAUAUAUUGCAUUGUUUUUUAAUUUAUUCAUUAAAAUGUUCUUUUGGUAAUUGUUUUCACAAGUCUUAUUUAAUAACAAAAUAUACUACUUUUGGAUGCAGGUUAAAUACAAAUUUUCAUGACAAUGUUACUUGAAUUAAAAAGAAAAUUAGAUACCAUAUGUAAGCUGGAAAUACAUGCUAAUAAGAUAACUGCAUAUUUGAAACAAACCGGUAAAGUAAUUAUUAUGUCUUUAAUAUAGUAUUCUUUCCAUAGUAAGUUAUAAUUUUGACCAUUGUCAGUUUCUUUUGCAUCCAUCUUAGUGGAGAAGUACAAAACAAAUUUUAUUGGUAGAAAAGUUACCAAUGAACCUUUUCAUGGUUUCACUUUGUAUAUAUAACCACCUUGAAAAAUGACCAGUAUUUCAGAGAGUGUCAGUAAGCAUCAUUCCUAACAAUAAUUUUCUUGAAGACUACUUCUUAACCUGACAGAUCAUCAAGUAAUUCCCAACCACAAGAAACAUUAAAAUUUUGUUAUCAGCCAAAAUGUUUCCGAGUGCCGAGAAAAUUGAAAAUGUCUUCAGCAGAAAGGUUAUUUUUACGGGCAAGAAAGAUUUUUGCUUUUCUGAGAUGUAAAUUUUAACCUUAUCUUUGUGUAGUAUAAUCUAUCUAAUUGGCUCAUUUGUGACACAAUAUGGAACUUUAAAUGUUUUAUGAUAUUCCUUAAUUGUUUAAAUGAAAUUUUGCAUUUCUUGUGUCUGCAGAUUGAUGUGAUAGGUUGGUCAGAACUAUUACUGUAUAUGGUAAAGGGUUAUGAUCACCAAGAAUAUUAUAAUGUUGAUGAGAUGGGUCUUUGUUAUUGGCUCAAUACCCACUAAAUGAUUGACAUUCUAAUGUUUAAAGGCACAUGUUGCCAAAAUAAUGGGGCUAUGUACCAUUAUUUUAGUGGGGUACUAAAAUCAUUAUGAUCAAAUGUUUAAAGUGUGACUGUGUCUGAGGGUGUAAUGAUAUGUAAAUCAAUAAUCCUGCACAACUAGAGUAAUUUUUUAUUAGCUCUGAAUUCUGUUAACAAGUUUUCAACAGAAAACUGAAAUAGUAUGGGUGUUAAUGGUGAGUCCCACCAGUGGCUAAGAGGUUUAGUCUCCUGAGUGCUGGCAGUUCAACCUGGGGUUAAACCCAAGUGAACUGACUAACUACGGUUUUCAUGGUUUUCUCCAUUUGUAACAUGAAUGCAAGCCAGUUCCUCUCAGAAAGUCCUCCCCUUAAGCAGAUAGGCACAUGUGCAUUGCCUUAUUCAAAUAACUUAACCUGAGCAGGAUCAGUAAAGGAGAAUUCACUGAACUUUUAAAAUAAAUGUGUAUUUAUUUUAAUUUGAAUGCCAUCAGAUUUUCCUUUUUCUUCCUUAGAUCUGAUAAAAUGAAGGAUGAGAAAUAAGCUUGUUAUUACUGUUUGUAUGUAGACAUAAAGAAGGAAAUUCUUAGCAUCAGUUUUAAAAAUUUGACUGCAUUUCAUUGUAGUUUGUUACUGAAAAUUGCAAACUGUAAAACUCUGUAGACAUAUUAUUACAACUUAUGUGUAACCACUGGUCUCUGUAAACAUUUCUAUAGUAAUAAAUAUGUUGUGAUCUUAAGAGCU